Sitodiplosis mosellana (orange wheat blossom midge) is the source of this 679-nucleotide long non-coding RNA. RefSeq lists it as uncharacterized. The transcript is spliced from 3 exons. NCBI's taxonomy places the organism in Eukaryota, Metazoa, Arthropoda, Insecta, Diptera, Cecidomyiidae. The record is from RefSeq and is a predicted model, not a curated record.
AACAAGCGGUUCGACAAUUCGCGCUAGUCGCUUUUCAAGUGGCUGAUUGGCUUGAACGAAGAAUCAAUUUCGGACAUCAGAUCUUCGAAUGACUCCAAGUUCAUUCGCAUUGUUUCAUUGACGCUGACAUUUUUGCAAUUGCAUAAGAUCAUCUCGGCUCAUGAAGCGAAUACCAUUCGACAGAUGGAAAUGGAACAAAACAUUAAAACUGAACUCGCUCUGCCAAGCGGAAGCUCGCCACCUACAAAGCUUAAUCAACAAUUUACCAACAUUGACGGUGCAUGGGCUCAAACGGCACACAAAUACACAAUUGCUUACGAGAUCAUUUGCCAUUGCCUUGAAGUGUCCGGCUUACGACGAGAAACGGCACCGAUUUUGUUCGAUGCACCCGAAUUCAAUGCACGCAUGCAACGAAUGGAAAGUGACUCGAACCCGAGUGUGAUGCACCAAAUGCAGAACUUUCGACUAUGAUGACAUUGACCACAUUUCCACAGCAAUUGAGUUCUUCAAUAAAUUCUACAAUAAAUAUUCAAUCUUAAAGUUAAAAUUUCCACACACAUUUUCCAAAAUUGACAAAAAAGGCAUCAUUAUUUGUCUUCGUUUCAUAAAAUAGGCUACGAGUUAAUAUUUUUUAUAUACAAUCUUCAUUUUGACUUGAUUUUGUGUUAAAGAGUUCAUG